This 773-nucleotide ribosomal RNA is filed under the name uncultured bacterium. RNAcentral's name for it is "bacterial SSU rRNA". It matches the Rfam family "Bacterial small subunit ribosomal RNA", at positions 9 to 795 of the family's 1533-position model. The record is from RNAcentral.
GAGUUUGAUCCUGGCUCAGGGUGAACUGCUGGCGGUGCGUCUAAUGCAUGCAAGUCGAGCGAGAACCUCGGGUUCGCCCGGGGGGAAAGCGGCGAACGGCUGAGUAACGCGUGAGUAACCUGUCCCUGAGUGGGGUAUAACCUGGAGAGAUCCAGGCUAAUCCCGCAUACGAUCCCCGGACCCUGGUCUUGGGAGGAAACCCGCUUGCGGGGCUCUAGGAGGGGCUCGCGUUCUAUCAGGUAGUUGGUGGGGUAACGGCUCACCAAGCCGACGACGGGUAGCCGGUGUGAGAGCACGACCGGCCAGAGGGGGACUGCGACACGGCCCCCACUUCUACGGAAGGCAGCAGCAGGGAAUCUUGCGCAAUGGGCGAAAGCCUGACGCAGCGACGCCGCGUGGGGGAAGAAGGCCUGCGGGUUGUAAACCCCUUUUCCGGGGGAAGAGUAAGGACGGUACCCCGGGAAUAAGCCCCGGCCAACUACGUGCCAGCAGCCGCGGUAAGACGUAGGGGGCAAGCGUUACCCGGAAUCACUGGGCGUAAAGGGGAUGCAGGCGGCAGGGUUAGUCGUCCGAGAAAGGUCUCGGCUCAACUGAGACAGCACGGGCGAUACGGCCCCGCUUGAGACCAGCAGAGGCGGGUGGAAUUCCCGGUGGAGCGGUGACAUGCGUAGAGAUCGGGAGGAACACCAGUGGCGAAGGCGGCCCGCUGGGCUGGUUCUGACGCUGAGCUCCGAAAGCGUGGGGAGCGAACAGGAUUAGAUACCCUGGUAGUC